GAGGGUACAGCUCAGGGGUAGAGCGCAUGCUUAACAUGAAGGAGGUCCUGGGUGCAAUCCCCAGUACCUCCA
Molecule: transfer RNA, 72 nt
Filed under: Camelus bactrianus (Bactrian camel)
Lineage: Eukaryota; Metazoa; Chordata; Mammalia; Artiodactyla; Camelidae
Also listed under: 2 other names
Rfam family: tRNA
About the family: Transfer RNA (tRNA) molecules are approximately 80 nucleotides in length. Their secondary structure includes four short double-helical elements and three loops (D, anti-codon, and T loops).
Source: Rfam by way of RNAcentral